This 274-nucleotide ribosomal RNA is filed under the name uncultured bacterium. RNAcentral describes it as "partial 16S ribosomal RNA". It matches the Rfam family "Bacterial small subunit ribosomal RNA", at positions 523 to 796 of the family's 1533-position model. The record is from RNAcentral.
AUACGGAGGGUGCAAGCGUUAUCCGGAAUCACUGGGUUUAAAGGGUGCGUAGGCGGCCUGGUAAGUCAGAGGUGAAAUACACGAGCUUAACUGGUGAAUUGCCUUUGAAACUAUCAAGCUAGAAUUAUGUUGAGGUCAGCGGAAUGAGUCAUGUAGCGGUGAAAUGCAUAGAUAUGACUUAGAACACCAAUUGCGUAGGCAGCUGGCUAGGCAUUAAUUGACGCUGAGGCACGAAAGCGUGGGGAGCGAACAGGAUUAGAUACCCUUGUAGUCC